This 423-nucleotide ribosomal RNA is filed under the name uncultured bacterium. Its description in RNAcentral is "partial 16S ribosomal RNA". It matches the Rfam family "Bacterial small subunit ribosomal RNA", at positions 360 to 775 of the family's 1533-position model. The record is from RNAcentral.
AAUAUUGGUCAAUGGGGGCAACCCUGAUCCAGCCAUGCCGCGUGUGUGAAGAAGGUCUUCGGAUUGUAAAGCACUUUAAGUUGGGAGGAAGGGCUUUAGGCUAAUACCCUGAAGUUUUGAUGUUACCAACAGAAUAAGCACAGGCUAACUUGGUGACAGCAGACGCGGUAAUACAGAGGGUGCAAGCGUUAAUCGGAAUUACUGGGCGUAAAGCGCGCGUAGGUGGUUCAGUAAGAUAGGUGUGAAAUCCCCGGGCUUAACCUGAGAACUGCUUUCAUAACUGCUGAGCUAGAGUACGGUAGAGGGUAGUGGAAUUUCCUGUGUAGCGGUGAAAUGCGUAGAUAUAGGAAGGAACACCAGUGGCGAAGGCGACUACCUGGACUGAUACUGACACUGAGGUGCGAAAGCGUGGGGAGCAAACAG